This is a non-coding RNA of Oreochromis aureus, 74 nucleotides long. NCBI's taxonomy places the organism in Eukaryota, Metazoa, Chordata, Actinopteri, Cichliformes, Cichlidae. The record is from the annotation of a RefSeq genome assembly.
GGCACUGUGGCUUAGCGGGUCAACGCACCUGUCUCGUAUACAGAAGGUCCUGGGUUCAAAUCCCAGCAGCGCCU